Molecule: long non-coding RNA, 212 nt
Filed under: Elaeis guineensis (African oil palm)
Lineage: Eukaryota; Viridiplantae; Streptophyta; Magnoliopsida; Arecales; Arecaceae
Description: long non-coding RNA (EGUI_LNC025211)
Source: RNAcentral
UGGGUACGGAGCGUGCCGAGGAAAGACAGAUAUUUUUUCUAAGAUUAAUCACAUCUAUUUAAUUAAAAAAAAAGAGAUACAACUCUACUAGUGCAAAAUUAAUUCAAAACUCCCGAGCUCUUUAUUUUCUAAUUAUAUCAAUUUUAAGAUAAUUUAUUUUCUAAAUCAAAACAACGCUUCUUUCUUUUAUUUUGUAAUCUCAACUUAGCCCA